This is a non-coding RNA of Otolemur garnettii (small-eared galago), 104 nucleotides long. The record is from Rfam. Lineage: Eukaryota; Metazoa; Chordata; Mammalia; Primates; Galagidae.
UUGGAAAUGUCUUUAAAAAACAACUACCCAGAAUGAUACAGAGAAGAUUAGCAUGGCCCCUGUGCCAGGAUGACAUGCAAAUUUGUGAAGCGUUCUGUAUUUUU